Non-coding RNA from Oryctolagus cuniculus (rabbit), 545 nucleotides. The record is from RefSeq and is a predicted model, not a curated record. Lineage: Eukaryota; Metazoa; Chordata; Mammalia; Lagomorpha; Leporidae.
UCCUCCAAACUGGUCUCUAAUAAAAGGUGGCUUUUCUUCUAGAUACAAAUGAAAAGCAGCUGUCACCAUGAGGCAGUCACGCUGCCUACUGGCUUCCUUGGGCUCUGUCUCCCGGGUUGCCCGCUGCCUUCUGGAGUGCUCAGGGCACCCAGUGGACCUGCAGCACCGUGAUCGUGGACAGCUCACUCAAGCUGUCUGUGCCCCAGGAUGCACAGACCUCACAAGGGACUUGUAAGGUCACGGUUUCCAACUCUUUUAACUGUUCCUCUGACACAUCCUGUGCUGAACUGAUUGACUGGUCAAAGCAUCACGCCAGGAACUUGUCGCCCUGUUAUAGGCCUUGGCCAGUGCUGGACCAGAACAGGCCAGUGGUGCACGUUGGCUGCACAUAUGGACAACAGCGAAAGAAGCCUGCGGUCAAGGUCCAGGACACGGGGGCCACCACUCACAAGUUGUUCACGUCACUCUCUCCAGCCUCGUCCAGCUGCCGGUCACUCAUCUGAAGGUUGCCUGGGAACCUGGGAUUCUGGAGAGGAGGUGGAGGG